CCUACGGGAGGCUGCAGUGGGGAAUAUUGCACAAUGGGGGAAACCCUGAUGCAGCGACGCCGCGUGAGUGAAGAAGUAAUUCGGUAUGUAAAGCUCUAUCAGCUGGGAAGAUGAUGACGGUAUCUGAGUAAGCAGCACCGGCUAACUACGUGCCAGCAGCCGCGGUAAUACGUAGGGGGCAAGCGUUAUCCGGAUUUACUGGGUGUAAAGGGAGCGUAGGCGGCAUGGCAAGUCAGGAGUGAAAGCCAUGGGCUUAACCCACGAACUGCUCUUGAAACUGUCCGGCUGGAGUGAAGUAGAGGUAGGUGGAAUUCCAGGUGUAGCGGUGAAAUGCGUAGAGAUUGGGAGGAACACCAGUGGCGAAGGCGGCCUACUGGACUGUAACUGACGCUGAGGUACGAAAGCGUGGGGAGCAAACAGGAUUAGAUACCCGUGUAGUC
RNAcentral lists this ribosomal RNA (440 nucleotides) under uncultured bacterium. RNAcentral's name for it is "partial 16S ribosomal RNA". It matches the Rfam family "Bacterial small subunit ribosomal RNA", at positions 338 to 795 of the family's 1533-position model. The record is from RNAcentral.